Molecule: ribosomal RNA, 506 nt
Filed under: uncultured bacterium
Lineage: Bacteria
Description: bacterial SSU rRNA
Rfam family: Bacterial small subunit ribosomal RNA
Source: RNAcentral
UCAGGAUGAACGCUAGCUACAGGCUUAACACAUGCAAGUCGAGGGGCGAGCGGGGAUCUAGCUUGCUAGAUUGCCGGCGACCGGCGCACGGGUGAGUAACGCGUAUCCAACCUUCCCCUUAGUAGGGCAUGGCCCGUAGAAAUGCGGAUUAAUACCCUAUGUUAUUCGUCGAUGACAUCUGAAGUGAAUCAAAGGUUUACCGCUAAGGGAUGGGGAUGCGUCUGAUUAGGCAGCAGGCGGGGUAACGGCCCACCUGGCCGACGAUCAGUAGGGGUUCUGAGAGGAAGGUCCCCCACAUUGGAACUGAGACACGGUCCAAACUCCUACGGGAGGCAGCAGUGAGGAAUAUUGGUCAAUGGGCGCGAGCCUGAACCAGCCAAGUAGCGUGCCAGGAUGACGGCCCUAUGGGUUGUAAACUGCUUUUAUGCGGGGAUAAAGUGCGGCACGCGUGCCGUUUUGUAGGUACCGCAUGAAUAAGGACCGGCUAAUUCCGUGCCAGCCGCCGC